AACGAACGCUGGCGGCAUGCCUAACACAUGCAAGUCGAACGAGAUCUUCGGGUCUAGUGGCGCACGGGUGCGUAACGCGUGGGAAUCUGCCCUUUGGUUCGGAAUAACAGUUGGAAACGACUGCUAAUACCGGAUGAUGACGAAAGUCCAAAGAUUUAUCGCCAGAGGAUGAGCCCGCGUAGGAUUAGCUAGUUGGUGGGGUAAAGGCGCACCAAGGCGACGAUCCUUAGCUGGUCUGAGAGGAUGAUCAGCCACACUGGGACUGAGACACGGCCCAGACUCCUACGUGAGGCAGCAGUGGGGAAUAUUGGACAAUGGGCGAAAGCCUGAUCCAGCAAUGCCGCGUGAGUGAUGAAGGCCUUAGGGUUGUAAAGCUCUUUUACCCGGGAUGAUAAUGACAGUACCGGGAGAAUAAGCUCCGGCUAACUCCGUGCCAGCCGCCGCAGUAA
RNAcentral lists this ribosomal RNA (449 nucleotides) under uncultured bacterium. RNAcentral's name for it is "partial 16S ribosomal RNA". It matches the Rfam family "Bacterial small subunit ribosomal RNA", at positions 29 to 523 of the family's 1533-position model. The record is from RNAcentral.